Long non-coding RNA from Rhinichthys klamathensis goyatoka, 247 nucleotides. RefSeq lists it as uncharacterized. NCBI's taxonomy places the organism in Eukaryota, Metazoa, Chordata, Actinopteri, Cypriniformes, Leuciscidae. The transcript has 4 exons. The record is from RefSeq and is a predicted model, not a curated record.
CUCUGCACACCUCCACACAGCACCUGGGAGAAACAUCAUUUUAAGUUCAUGAAGGGAGCAGAAUCUUGGAAGUCUCAAGAAAAAAAACUCUAGAAAGAUGCAUCGAUUCCAGAAAACCAGGAAAAUGCUGAACUGGUUUCUCCCCAGUAAUCCAGACUCCACUUCACAGAGCCAAGAGUUUGAGUACAACUUGGUGUAGGGGAUAAAGCAUGUUUUAGAGACAUGUUCCUGAAGACCAUUGUUCAAA